CCAGUUCCUGAGUUUAUGCAAGAUGCCCAUGGGAGCCCAGAGACGUCCUAUGGCGAGACUGGCAUGUACUCACACAACUGA
Homo sapiens (human) is the source of this 81-nucleotide microRNA precursor. Lineage: Eukaryota; Metazoa; Chordata; Mammalia; Primates; Hominidae. The record is from Ensembl.